This 330-nucleotide ribosomal RNA is filed under the name uncultured bacterium. RNAcentral describes it as "bacterial SSU rRNA". It matches the Rfam family "Bacterial small subunit ribosomal RNA", at positions 568 to 898 of the family's 1533-position model. The record is from RNAcentral.
UGCGCAGGCGGUUAUGCAAGACAGAUGUGAAAUCCCCGGGCUCAACCUGGGAACUGCAUUUGUGACUGCAUAGCUAGAGUACGGUAGAGGGGGAUGGAAUUCCGCGUGUAGCAGUGAAAUGCGUAGAUAUGCGGAGGAACACCGAUGGCGAAGGCAAUCCCCUGGACCUGUACUGACGCUCAUGCACGAAAGCGUGGGGAGCAAACAGGAUUAGAUACCCUGGUAGUCCACGCCCUAAACGAUGUCAACUGGUUGUUGGGAGGGUUUCUUCUCAGUAACGUAGCUAACGCGUGAAGUUGACCGCCUGGGGAGUACGGCCGCAAGGUUGAA